Molecule: ribosomal RNA, 437 nt
Filed under: uncultured bacterium
Lineage: Bacteria
Description: partial 16S ribosomal RNA
Rfam family: Bacterial small subunit ribosomal RNA
Source: RNAcentral
GAUGAACGCUGGCGGCAUGCUUAACACAUGCCAGUCGAACGGGAAGUGGUGUUUCCAGUGGCGAACGGGUGAGUAACGCGUAAGAACCUGCCCUUGGGAGGGGAACAACAACUGGAAACGGUUGCUAAUACCCCGUAGGCUGAGGAGCAAAAGGAGAAAUCCGCCCAAGGGGGGGCGCGCGUCAGAUUUGCUAGUUGGUGAGGUAAUAGCUUACCAAGGAGAUGAUCAGGAGCUGUUCCGAGAGGAUGAUCAGCCACACUGCGACGGAGACCAGGAGCAGAGAACAAUGGGAGGUAGGAGUAGGGAAGAUCCAGCAAUGGGGGAAAGGUUGAGAGGGUAAUGGGGCGGGGAAGUGGAAGGAGUAGGGGGGGACAACAGUUAGUCUAGGAGAAGAAAUAAUGACGGUACCUGAGGAAUAAGCAUCGGCUAACUCCGUG